GAAAAGGUUUUUUUUAAAACCAAAAAAAUACAGCAGAAAAGUAAU
This is a non-coding RNA of Takifugu rubripes (torafugu), 45 nucleotides long. NCBI's taxonomy places the organism in Eukaryota, Metazoa, Chordata, Actinopteri, Tetraodontiformes, Tetraodontidae. The record is from Rfam.